Molecule: ribosomal RNA, 239 nt
Filed under: uncultured fungus
Lineage: Eukaryota; Fungi
Description: partial small subunit ribosomal RNA
Rfam family: Eukaryotic small subunit ribosomal RNA (bases 118-239)
Source: RNAcentral
GUUCAGCAGUGUCUGGCCCGUCGAGGUUCGUCCUUUGUGCGAGUGCUGACACUUUAGCUGGGCAUCCUUGUGGAAAUAGUUGUGUGUUCGUCAGCAAUGGCGGGUGCAUGGCUCCACAUCAUUUACUUUGAACAAAUUAGAGUGUUUCAAGCAGGCCUUUGAGCCGUGAAUACAUUAGCAUGGAAUAAUAACAUAGGACUUCUUGUCUUAUAUUUGUUGGUGUUCUCAAGCGGGAAGUA